UGGGGAAUUUUGGACAAUGGCGAAAGCCUGAUCCAGCAAUGCCGCGUGUGUGAAGAAGGCCUUCGGGUUGUAAAGCACUUUUGUCCGGAAAGAAAUGGCUCUGGUUAAUACCUGGGGUCGAUGACGGUACCGGAAGAAUAAGGACCGGCUAACUACGUGCCAGCAGCCGCGGUAAUACGUAGGGUCCAAGCGUUAAUCGGAAUUACUGGGCGUAAAGCGUGCGCAGGCGGUUGUGCAAGACCGAUGUGAAAUCCCCGAGCUUAACUUGGGAAUUGCAUUGGUGACUGCACGGCUAGAGUGUGUCAGAGGGGAGUAGAAUUCCACGUGUAGCAGUGAAAUGCGUAGAGAUGUGGAGGAAUACCGAUGGCGAAGGCAGCCCCCUGGGAUAACACUGACGCUCAUGGCACGAAAGCGUGGGGAGCAAACAGGAUUAGAUACCCUGGUAGUCCACGCCCUAAACGGAUGUCAACUAGUUGUU
This 478-nucleotide ribosomal RNA is filed under the name uncultured bacterium. RNAcentral describes it as "partial 16S ribosomal RNA". It matches the Rfam family "Bacterial small subunit ribosomal RNA", at positions 355 to 824 of the family's 1533-position model. The record is from RNAcentral.